GCCCGCCUAGCUCAACGGUAGAGCAAUUGUUUUGUAAACAAUCGGUUAGCGGUUCGAACCCUCUGGUGGGCUCCA
This 75-nucleotide transfer RNA is filed under the name Sulfobacillus sp. RNAcentral describes it as "tRNA-Thr". It matches the Rfam family "tRNA". From Rfam's summary of the family: Transfer RNA (tRNA) molecules are approximately 80 nucleotides in length. The record is from RNAcentral. Lineage: Bacteria; Bacillati; Bacillota; Clostridia; Eubacteriales; Clostridiales Family XVII. Incertae Sedis. RNAcentral also lists the same sequence under 1 other name.